RNAcentral lists this ribosomal RNA (180 nucleotides) under uncultured Thiobacillus sp. RNAcentral describes it as "partial 16S ribosomal RNA". It matches the Rfam family "Bacterial small subunit ribosomal RNA", at positions 1202 to 1382 of the family's 1533-position model. Lineage: Bacteria; Pseudomonadati; Pseudomonadota; Betaproteobacteria; Nitrosomonadales; Thiobacillaceae. The record is from RNAcentral.
UUAUGGUAGGCUUCACACGUCAUACAAUGGUCGGUACAGAGGGUUGCCAAGCCGCGAGGUGGAGCCAAUCCCAGAAAGCCGAUCGUAGUCCGGAUUGUUCUCUGCAACUCGAGAGCAUGAAGUCGGAAUCGCUAGUAAUCGCGGAUCAGCAUGUCGCGGUGAAUACGUUCCCGGGUCCUU